GGUAGUAAUAUACAAUAAGAACUGCUAAUUCCUAUAUCUGAGAUUAGCCCCCUCGGCUCCCUCAC
This 65-nucleotide transfer RNA is filed under the name Testudo hermanni. RNAcentral describes it as "tRNA-Ser". Lineage: Eukaryota; Metazoa; Chordata; Testudines; Testudinidae. The record is from RNAcentral.